Molecule: microRNA, 21 nt
Filed under: Callorhinchus milii (elephant shark)
Lineage: Eukaryota; Metazoa; Chordata; Chondrichthyes; Chimaeriformes; Callorhinchidae
Description: Cmi-Mir-551-P1_3p (mature (guide))
Source: RNAcentral
GCGACCCAUUCUUGUUUUCUG